Molecule: ribosomal RNA, 937 nt
Filed under: uncultured bacterium
Lineage: Bacteria
Description: bacterial SSU rRNA
Rfam family: Bacterial small subunit ribosomal RNA
Source: RNAcentral
AGAGUUUGAUCMUGGCUCAGGACGAACGCUGGCGGCGUGGAUAAGGCAUGCAAGUCGAACGGGAUGGAGUCGCAAGCAAUUGCUUCUCCUGAGAGUGGCGAACGGGUGAGUAACACGUGGGUAACAUACCUCCGGGUGGGGGAUAACCCAGGGAAACCUGGGCUAAUACCGCAGAUGUCGGAUCGUCCAUGACGGACUGACUAAAGGUGGGGACCUUCGGGCCCGCCGCCUGGAGAUUGGCCCGCGCCCCAUUAGCUUGUUGGCGGGGUAAUGGCCCACCAAGGCGACGAUGGGUAGCCGGCCUGAGAGGGUGUCCGGCCACACUGGGAUUGAGAUACGGCCCAGACUCCUUCGGGAGGCAGCAGUCGAGGAUCUUCCACAAUGGGCGAAAGCCUGAUGGAGCGACGCCGCGUGAGGGAUGAAGGCCCUUUGGGUUGUAAACCUCUGUUAGGGGAGAAGAACAGCGGGGGGAGCAACAUGCCCUCCGCCUGACGUUAUCCCCAGAGAAAGCUCCGGCCAACUCCGUGCCAGCAGCCGCGGUAAUACGGGGGGAGCGAGCGUUGUCCGGAAUCAUUGGGCGUAAAGGGCGUGUAGGCGGCUGGGCAAGUCGAAUGUGAAAUCCCACGGCUCAACCGUGGAACUGCGUUCGAAACUGCCCUGCUUGAGUGCGGGAGAGGUGUGCGGAAUUCCUGGUGUAGCGGUGGAAUGCGUAGAUAUCAGGAAGAACACCGGUGGCGAAGGCGGCACACUGGCCUGGCACUGACGCUGAGGCGCGAAAGCGUGGGGAGCGAACGGGAUUAGAUACCCCGGUAGUCCACGCUGUAAACGUUGGGCACUAGGUAUCGGAGGUCUCAACCCCUUCGGUGCCGCAGUUAACGCGUUAAGUGCCCCGCCUGGGGAGUACGGUCGCAAGGCUGAAACUCAAAGGAAUUGACGG